Molecule: long non-coding RNA, 495 nt
Filed under: Rattus norvegicus (Norway rat)
Lineage: Eukaryota; Metazoa; Chordata; Mammalia; Rodentia; Muridae
Description: long non-coding RNA NONRATT001909
Source: RNAcentral
AUCGCUUUUGCUCCACUCUGCUUUUUCCUUCGAAGUCCACCUGCUAAGGAGGAAAAAAUGGCUAUCCUCAUGGACCACAACUGUCCCAUUAAAACAAAGAUGUACACUCAGAAUAAUGUCCAGUCAUAUCCCAUCGGUGAUGAUGAAGAAUCUGAAAGUGACUGAGACCCUCUAACGUCGCCAAAUGUUUAACUGUGUAGAAGUGUUUCCAGUGAGAUGACUUAUGCAGAGCUGUCUUAGUCCCACCAUCCAUUGCUGGCAAAGAGUAAAAACAACCAAAGGUGAUACUUUCUUUUCCAUGGUUAUGAUUGACUGCCAACAGCCUUAUAAAGAAAAAGCAGCUUUUCUAGGGGUUUGUAUAAAUAGUGUUGAAAACUUUAUUUUAUGUAUUUGAUUUUAUUAAUAUUAUACAAUAUAUUUUGACGAAAUAGGUAUACUGUAAAUGUAUAAAUAUUUGAAUCCAAAUUAAAUAUAAUUUUUAAACUUACAUUCAUU